AUGAGAGGGGGAAACCACUUAGCAAUGAAAAGCUUGGUGCGGCUUGUCAAUGAGUGGGAGAUCCAACUACUGGUGCUUGUUAGCUUCACACUACAGCUCUUUCUCUUCUCUGUUGGUAGCCUCCGGCGGCGUAGCAGCAGCGUUGUAUUGACAGUAUUACUCUGGCUAUCUUAUUUGGGAGCGGACUUGGUAGCUGCUUAUGUCCUAGGCCUCAUCUCGCGACAAGAGGUUUCCACUCAUCAUCUGUCUUUUCUCUGGGCGCCCUUUCUCCUCAUACAUCUUGGCGGACAAGACACCAUCACUGCCUUUGCCAUUCAGGACAACAAUCUCUGGGUGAGGCAUUUGUUGAAUCUUGUUGUCCAAAUGUCCCUCACCCUCUAUAUCUUUUGGAAGUCAUUCGAUGGCGGCCCUAACAUGAAGCUUCUUUCCCCUAGCAUCCUUUUAUUUGUUACUGGCAUUAUCAAGUAUUGGGAGAGAACAUGGGCUUUGUGGUGUGGCAGUCUGAGAAACAUCAGGGACUCAGACCCAUGUCUCGCUCCUUCGGAAACGAGCAUUGAUACCUCUUCUGAUCCUGUUUUCUCUGCCUUGCGUUCAGAAAAGGCUAUGCGUCAUUUUUUUCUGGCGUCAGGUGCCCCGCUGCAGCCGCUAGCCAUUGGCAUAUAG
This 663-nucleotide ribosomal RNA is filed under the name Triticum aestivum (bread wheat). Its description in RNAcentral is "partial small subunit ribosomal RNA". Lineage: Eukaryota; Viridiplantae; Streptophyta; Magnoliopsida; Poales; Poaceae. The record is from RNAcentral.